CUUCUUUCCAUUUGUACAGGACGUUCAGAAGAAUUUUGGGGACUCCUGUGCUCCUGAGUUUGGUCUACGUCAUUAAAAUAAUCCAUCAGUGGAGUUGGGGAAUCUGGAGUAUUCAUCCAGAACAACUAGAAGAUAGUUGCCAGAGGGAAAUGGACUGCAAAAAUCAACAGAGACAUUCUGCCAUGGACCUUCAGGGAACCAGACCUUUACUCUCAGCAGCUGUUUUGUUUUUGCUAAUCCCUGGUGGCCUUCAUGUGUGAGAUCAGGGACCUCUAAAGCCCUGAAAGUCAGCGGAGACCAGGACAACUAGAUGAGCCCCAGAUACCUUGUAAAGACCUUGUCUCAGACGACCACUGGGACAAGACCACAGGAAACAGAUGAUUCUUCUGCAC
Long non-coding RNA from Cyprinus carpio (common carp), 392 nucleotides. RefSeq lists it as uncharacterized. Lineage: Eukaryota; Metazoa; Chordata; Actinopteri; Cypriniformes; Cyprinidae. The transcript is spliced from 3 exons. The record is from RefSeq and is a predicted model, not a curated record.